This 475-nucleotide ribosomal RNA is filed under the name uncultured Desulfovibrio sp. RNAcentral's name for it is "bacterial SSU rRNA". It matches the Rfam family "Bacterial small subunit ribosomal RNA", at positions 912 to 1382 of the family's 1533-position model. Lineage: Bacteria; Pseudomonadati; Thermodesulfobacteriota; Desulfovibrionia; Desulfovibrionales; Desulfovibrionaceae. The record is from RNAcentral.
AGACGGGGGCCCGCACAAGCGGUGGAGUAUGUGGUUUAAUUCGACGCAACGCGCAGAACCUUACCUAGACUUGACAUCCCGGGGAUUUUCUGGAAACAGAGAAGUGCUUUAGCAAUAAAGAACCCGGUGACAGGUGCUGCAUGGCUGUCGUCAGCUCGUGUCGUGAGAUGUUGGGUUAAGUCCCGCAACGAGCGCAACCCUCGCCUUUAGUUGCCAGCAUUCAGUUGGGCACUCUAGAGGGACUGCCGGUGUCAAACCGGAGGAAGGUGGGAUGACGUCAAGUCCUCAUGGCCUUUAUGUCUAGGGCUACACACGUACUACAAUGGCCGGUACAAAGGGCAGCCACUCAGCGAUGAGGCGCUAAUCCCAUAAAGCCGGUCUCAGUCCGGAUCGCAGUCUGCAACUCGACUGCGUGAAGUUGGAAUCGCUAGUAAUCGUAGAUCAGCAUGCUACGGUGAAUACGUUCCCGGGCCUU